UGCCAGCCGCCGUGGUAAUACGGAGGGGGCAAGCGUUGUUCGGAAUUACUGGGCGUAAAGGGCGUGUAGGCGGCGGUUUUAGUCAGGCGUGAAAGCCCGAGGCUCAACCUCGGAAUAGCGCUUGAUACUGAACUGCUUGAGACCGGAAGAGGGUAGUGGAAUUCCCAGUGUAGAGGUGAAAUUCGUAGAUAUUCGGAGGAACACCAGUGGCGAAGGCGGCUCACUGGCUCGAUACUGACGCUGAGGUACGAAAGUGUGGGGAGCGAACGGGAUUAGAUA
RNAcentral lists this ribosomal RNA (279 nucleotides) under uncultured bacterium. RNAcentral's name for it is "partial 16S ribosomal RNA". It matches the Rfam family "Bacterial small subunit ribosomal RNA", at positions 506 to 784 of the family's 1533-position model. The record is from RNAcentral.